This 1132-nucleotide ribosomal RNA is filed under the name Annulatascus velatisporus. Its description in RNAcentral is "SSU rRNA". It matches the Rfam family "Eukaryotic small subunit ribosomal RNA", at positions 20 to 1162 of the family's 1831-position model. Lineage: Eukaryota; Fungi; Ascomycota; Sordariomycetes; Annulatascales; Annulatascaceae. The record is from RNAcentral.
GUAGUCAUAUGCUUGUCUCAAAGAUUAAGCCAUGCAUGUCUAAGUAUAAGCAAUUAUACAGCGAAACUGCGAAUGGCUCAUUAAAUCAGUUAUCGUUUAUUUGAUAGUACCUUACUACUUGGAUAACCGUGGUAAUUCUAGAGCUAAUACAUGCUAAAAAUCCCGACUUCGGAAGGGAUGUAUUUAUUAGAUUAAAAACCAAUGCCCUCCGGGGCUCACUGGUGAUUCAUGAUAACUUCUCGAAUCGCAUGGCCUUGCGCCGGCGAUGGUUCAUUCAAAUUUCUGCCCUAUCAACUUUCGACGGCUGGGUCUUGGCCAGCCAUGGUGACAACGGGUAACGGAGGGUUAGGGCUCGACCCCGGAGAAGGAGCCUGAGAAACGGCUACUACAUCCAAGGAAGGCAGCAGGCGCGCAAAUUACCCAAUCCCGACUCGGGGAGGUAGUGACAAUAAAUACUGAUACAGGGCUCUUUUGGGUCUUGUAAUUGGAAUGAGUACAAUUUAAAUCCCUUAACGAGGAACAAUUGGAGGGCAAGUCUGGUGCCAGCAGCCGCGGUAAUUCCAGCUCCAAUAGCGUAUAUUAAAGUUGUUGCAGUUAAAAAGCUCGUAGUUGAACCUUGGGUCUGGCUGGCCGGUCCGCCUCACCGCGUGCACUGGUCCGGCCGGACCUUUCCCUCUGGGGAACCGCAUGCCCUUUACUGGGUGUGUCGGGGAACCAGGACUUUUACUUUGAAAAAAUUAGAGUGUUCAAAGCAGGCCUUUGCUCGGAUACAUUAGCAUGGAAUAAUAGAAUAGGACGUGUGGUUCUAUUUUGUUGGUUUCUAGGACCGCCGUAAUGAUUAAUAGGGACAGUCGGGGGCAUCAGUAUUCAAUUGUCAGAGGUGAAAUUCUUGGAUUUAUUGAAGACUAACUACUGCGAAAGCAUUUGCCAAGGAUGUUUUCAUUAAUCAGGAACGAAAGUUAGGGGAUCGAAGACGAUCAGAUACCGUCGUAGUCUUAACCAUAAACUAUGCCGACUAGGGAUCGGACGAUGUUAUUCUUUGACUCGUUCGGCACCUUACACGAAAGUACAAGUUUCUGGGUUCUGGGGGGAGUAUGGUCGCAAGGCUGAAACUUAAAGGAAUUGACGGAAG